RNAcentral lists this ribosomal RNA (508 nucleotides) under uncultured bacterium. RNAcentral describes it as "partial 16S ribosomal RNA". It matches the Rfam family "Bacterial small subunit ribosomal RNA", at positions 28 to 507 of the family's 1533-position model. The record is from RNAcentral.
GACGAACGCUGGCGGCGUGCCUAAUACAUGCAAGUCGAACGCUUCUUUCCUCCCGAGUGCUUGCACUCAAUUGGAAAGAGGAGUGGCGGACGGGUGAGUAACACGUGGGUAACCUACCCAUCAGAGGGGGAUAACACUUGGAAACAGGUGCUAAUACCGCAUAACAGUUUAUGCCGCAUGGCAUAAGACUGAAAGGCGCUUUCGGGUGUCGCUGAUGGAUGGACCCGCGGUGCAUUAGCUAGUUGGUGAGGUAACGGCUCACCAAGGCCACGAUGCAUAGCCGACCUGAGAGGGUGAUCGGCCACACUGGGACUGAGACACGGCCCAGACUCCUACGGGAGGCAGCAGUAGGGAAUCUUCGGCAAUGGACGAAAGUCUGACCGAGCAACGCCGCGUGAGUGAAGAAGGUUUUCGGAUCGUAAAACUCUGUUGUUAGAGAAGAACAAGGACGUUAGUAACUGAACGUCCCCUGACGGUAUCUAACCAGAAAGCCACGGCUAACUACGUG